AAUAGACCGCUGUCACCAUGGUCUCGGAGAUUAUACUAGAUAAGAUCAAGUGAGUACAUCAAUCCAAUACAUAGAAGAAGGGAAACAUCAUGUGAACAACCUAGAUUAACAUAGCCUAUGAUCACAAUCAAGAUCACAUCAUGGAGAGAGAGAUAACCACAUAGCUACACGUAGAGCCCUCAGCCCUGAGGGAGACUACUCACACAUGGCCAUGGUGAGAAAGAGGUUGAUGGAGAGGUGCAGCCCGGAGAGGAGACAGCGACGACCACGGCCCUUGGGGGCGGCGGCCCUUGGGCCCCUUCUUCCUUGGAGAUGGUGCUGGUAUGGAGGUGGUUCUCCACCCAAUGCGGCUGUCUCGGAGGAGGAAAUUUCGUGGCUCUU
RNAcentral lists this long non-coding RNA (381 nucleotides) under Hordeum vulgare. RNAcentral's name for it is "long non-coding RNA (HVUL_LNC005544)". The record is from RNAcentral. Lineage: Eukaryota; Viridiplantae; Streptophyta; Magnoliopsida; Poales; Poaceae.